This 274-nucleotide ribosomal RNA is filed under the name uncultured bacterium. RNAcentral's name for it is "partial 16S ribosomal RNA". It matches the Rfam family "Bacterial small subunit ribosomal RNA", at positions 523 to 796 of the family's 1533-position model. The record is from RNAcentral.
AUACGGAGGGUGCAAGCGUUAUUCGGAAUCACUGGGCGUAAAGGACGCGUAGGCGGGUUGGCAAGUCAGAUGUGAAAUCCUACAGCUUAACUGUAGAACUGCAUUUGAAACUGCUAACCUAGAGUAUGGGAGGGGGAGAUGGAAUUAGUGGUGUAGGGGUAAAAUCCGUAGAAAUCACUAGGAAUACCGAAAGCGAAGGCGAUCUCCUGGAACAUAACUGACGCUAAGGCGUGAAAGCGUGGGGAGCAAACAGGAUUAGAUACCCUUGUAGUCC